AUACAGAGGUCCCAAGCGUUGUUCGGAUUCACUGGGCGUAAAGGGUGCGUAGGCGGUCGGGUAAGUCUGACGUGAAAUCUUCAAGCUCAACUUGGAAACUGCGUCGGAUACUAUUCGGCUGGAGGAAUGGAGGGGAGACUGGAAUACUUGGUGUAGCAGUGAAAUGCGUAGAUAUCAAGUGGAACACCAGUGGCGAAGGCGAGUCUCUGGACAUUUCCUGACGCUGAGGCACGAAAGCCAGGGGAGCAAACGGGA
This 255-nucleotide ribosomal RNA is filed under the name uncultured prokaryote. RNAcentral describes it as "partial 16S ribosomal RNA". It matches the Rfam family "Bacterial small subunit ribosomal RNA", at positions 523 to 777 of the family's 1533-position model. The record is from RNAcentral.